This 253-nucleotide ribosomal RNA is filed under the name uncultured prokaryote. RNAcentral describes it as "partial 16S ribosomal RNA". It matches the Rfam family "Bacterial small subunit ribosomal RNA", at positions 525 to 777 of the family's 1533-position model. The record is from RNAcentral.
ACGGAGGGUGCGAGCGUUGUCCGGAAUCACUGGGCGUAAAGGGUGCGUAGGCGGUCGGGUAAGUCCGAUGUGAAAUCUCACAGCUUAACUGUGAAACUGCAUUGGAUACUAUUCGGCUAGAGAGUUGGAGGGGGGACUGGAAUUCUUGGUGUAGCAGUGAAAUGCGUAGAUAUCAAGAGGAACACCAGUGGCGAAGGCGAGUCCCUGGACAACUUCUGACGCUGAGGCACGAAAGCUAGGGGAGCAAACAGGA